This 332-nucleotide unclassified non-coding RNA is filed under the name soil metagenome. Its description in RNAcentral is "partial contains 5.8S ribosomal RNA, internal transcribed spacer 2, and large subunit ribosomal RNA". The stretch from base 1 to 120 matches the Rfam family "5.8S ribosomal RNA", at positions 35 to 154 of the family's 154-position model. The record is from RNAcentral.
GAUGAAGAACGUAGCAAAAUGCGAUAAGUAAUGUGAAUUGCAGAAUUCAGUGAAUCAUCGAAUCUUUGAACGCACAUUGCGCCCGCCAGUAUUCUGGCGGGCAUGCCUGUUCGAGCGUCAUUUCAACCCUCAAGCACAGCUUGGUGUUGGGACUCGCGUUAAUUCGCGUUCCCCAAAUUGAUUGGCGGUCACGUCGAGCUUCCAUAGCGUAGUAGUAAAACCCUCGUUACUGGUNNNNGUCGCGGCCACGCCGUUAAACCCCAACUUCUGAAUGUUGACCUCGGAUCAGGUAGGAAUACCCGCUGAACUUAAGCAUAUCAAUAAGCGGAGGA